GACGAACGCUGGCGGCGUGCUUAACACAUGCAAGUCGAACGGAAAGGCCCUGCUUUUGUGGGGUGCUCGAGUGGCGAACGGGUGAGUAACACGUGAGUAACCUGCCCUUGACUUUGGGAUAACUUCAGGAAACUGGGGCUAAUACCGGAUAGGAGCUCCUGCUGCAUGGUGGGGGUUGGAAAGUUUCGGCGGUUGGGGAUGGACUCGCGGCUUAUCAGCUUGUUGGUGGGGUAGUGGCUUACCAAGGCUUUGACGGGUAGCCGGCCUGAGAGGGUGACCGGCCACAUGGGGAUGGACUGAGACCCGGGACACACGCGGGAGGCAGGAGGCGGUGUGGAAGACUAAGGGGUGGACGCAGGCGGGAGCCACCCCGGGGGCGGGAGUGCGGAAUGCGGGUUGGAAGCAAAUCUCUCUUACCACGGAGGGUAAGGGCGGUAAAGGGGAAAAAAGCCCCGGGUAACUCCGGG
Molecule: ribosomal RNA, 467 nt
Filed under: uncultured bacterium
Lineage: Bacteria
Description: partial 16S ribosomal RNA
Rfam family: Bacterial small subunit ribosomal RNA
Source: RNAcentral